This 406-nucleotide ribosomal RNA is filed under the name uncultured bacterium. Its description in RNAcentral is "partial 16S ribosomal RNA". It matches the Rfam family "Bacterial small subunit ribosomal RNA", at positions 30 to 526 of the family's 1533-position model. The record is from RNAcentral.
AUUGAACGCUGGCGGAAGGCCUAACACAUGCAAGUCGAACGAGUGGCGGACGGGUGAGUAAUGUCUGGGAAACUGCCUGAUGGAGGGGGAUAACUACUGGAAAAGGUAGCUAAUACCGCAUACCAUCAGAUGUGCCCAGAUGGGAUUAGCUAGUGGGUGGGGUAACGGCUAACCAAGGCGACGAUCCCUAGCGGGUCCGAGAGGAUGACCAGCCACACUGGAACUGAGACACGGUCCAGACUCCUACGGGAGGCAGCAGUGGGGAAUAUUGCACAAGGGGCGCAAGCCGGAUGCAGCCAUGCCGCUUGUAUGAAGAGGGCCUUCGGUUUGUAAAGUACUUUCAGCGGGGAGGCGUUACCCGCAUAAGAAGCACCGGCUAACUCCGUGCCAGCCGCCGCGGUAAUUC